Dermochelys coriacea (leatherback sea turtle) is the source of this 782-nucleotide long non-coding RNA. RefSeq lists it as uncharacterized. The record is from RefSeq and is a predicted model, not a curated record. NCBI's taxonomy places the organism in Eukaryota, Metazoa, Chordata, Testudines, Dermochelyidae. The transcript is spliced from 4 exons.
UGAAACGGUGUCUGGUCCACACACGAUUUUGGAAAGAGCAGCCAGGGUCAGGGGAGAAGGUUUCCAGGUAACCAGGCAUAUAGCAAAACAUGAACAGAGGGCCCUAUGCUCUCACCCGCCAUGAAGUGCACAGUGGAGCAGAGAUGAACAGAUGAGCAACGAAGCUGCCAGGAGUGGGAAGAGUGGUGGUGGCUCUGCCUUCCUAGAAGCCUGCAGUGGUCCCUUCCAGGGUACUGUGUGUGUUCAGUACUGAUGGGGUAUGUCUACACUGCAGUGUAUAUCUUUAACCGAAGAAUCUACUGACCCCAGAGGGAAAGACCAUACAUGGUGAUGGUGAAGGACAGUUUGAGCUUAUACUUAGAGCUUCACUCACUGUGACUCUUGCAGUUAAGGCUAACAGCAAUAUGAUAAGUAUCUACAACCCUUUCAUUACAAGGAUAUAAUUCUGAAGCAUCUUUUAACUGGAAUUGCAGUAUCACAUCUGACUUGCUAUCUAAAAUCCAUCAAAGUCCUGUUUUGAAACCUGGACCUUCAGCAUUGAUCACUACUACUAAAGCUAAGAGACUAACAACAAUGGAGGGCAACAUGAGGAACCUGCCUUUAGAGAAGGAUGGGGGGGACAAUGAAACAGUGGUACAAUAUGGAGGAGUGUACUACUUCUUUAAGCAACCAGAACAGCUUGGCUGUGAUCAAAGAGGCCUCCUGGGCUAUUUAAGCAGGAAGAGGAAGCUAAGCAGUAGAGAGAGAGGGUUAACAGCUAUAUUGGUUGCUGUGGUCUCUUC